UUUUUCUUCAUACCACUCGCUAUUUUACAUGCUCAUAUGCAUAUCUUUAUUUUUAGUAAUAAGCCAAUAAUAAUAAUAAAACCCUGCCCCGUUUUAAGUGUUUUAACCCUUGAUCACUGAUACCCUGUCCGACUGACGUAGGGCCCCGUAACGUAUGUCAAGGCUCUGCCUAAAUUCGUUGGGGUUCUGUCUCGUGACGUAGGGAUAAAGUAGAAUUGGGUUACUAUACUUAAUGUGGGUGCACUAUAUAUUUUAUUAAAUAAUCCUGGAGUUGUACCCAAAAUAUAACAACCCUCCCGAAUAUUUUUCUGACACCCUACACUUUCUAAAAUACACCCCGUAUGUGAAAACUAAACCCGAAAUAUAAUAUAACAUUGAAACUAAUGGAAAACAAGAAAAAGUAAGUUGAGGCGGGCCGCGUAGACCCACCCCAAACCUUACGCGGGCGGUAUGAAGGUUUAGACCUGAAUUCGUUGAGUUUUAAGCUUAGGCGGGCCGCGUAACCCAACCAAGUUAGUUAACGCGGGCCGCGAGAGGUUCAAAAGGUGGCGCAGCCCGGUGCGGCCACGUGGCCCAACACCCGGCAAACCUACUCGAUGACUCAGCCCAGCUACGCAUUGACUGGAGGUCAACGCGGGCCGCGUAGGCCCUGCCCCUAUGUUACGCGGGCCGCGAGAGAGACAAAAUUCAGCACUAUAUAUUGAACGCAUCGGAUUUCAUUCGGAGUUCGCUCACAAUCAUUUCUCAAUCUCAAAUUCUGAAUAUUAGGCAUAAUACGCGGGUAUUAUAUCCCCUAAUUAGCGAAGCUCUGCCUCGUUGUAAGUAUCAUAACCCAUGGAUACGUAUUAGAUACUCUGCCCGAUUGAUCUAGGGUUCCGUAACGGCUGUCGUGGUUCUGCCCGACGUAGUCGUUGGAAUGCCGUCUCGGGGAGGAUUAUAACCAGGGAAUCACAAAGGAAAGCCCUAUAAUAGCAAUGUGAGUUAUCCUCUUUUUGUUAAAUGUUUUUACAAAACCUUACAUACUUUUCCAUGCGAAUAACAGUUAUUGAGUAUUUGUAAGAAUACAAUUAUCGUGGGUAUGUUGGGGUUUUGUAUACAAAAUUGGUUACAACCUGGUUAAGGAGUAACAUUUCCACAACUCGGGUGUCGACAGUACCAACGGGUGAUAAUUGAUAUAACUUGGAAACAAAUGUAAUUGCGGGAUCGCCCUCAAUACUGUUCACUGUGACUUUUUAUUUAAACUUGAUUAAACUGGGAUUCACUCACCAGUAUUUCCUGCUGAUAAAAUGUUUUAAACAUGUGUUUCAGGUAACUUAGUAUGAAGCCAAUAAAAGCCAGCUGGAGAGCACUGAAGGCUUGGAAAAGUGGCAAUGAAGUUACCUAAAAUAAAAUAGAUGGUUUUUUUUAAAAAUAGGAUUUAUUCAUAUAAAAAUGUAUGUACUGCAAAACUUGGGUUUUAUCCCAUAUGUUUAAUAUUAUGAAAAUAAGGUGGUUUUACU
This 1499-nucleotide long non-coding RNA is filed under the name Helianthus annuus (common sunflower). RNAcentral describes it as "hypothetical non coding rna". The record is from RNAcentral. Lineage: Eukaryota; Viridiplantae; Streptophyta; Magnoliopsida; Asterales; Asteraceae.